UCCAAGUCAGGACACAGCAUGGACAUGAGGGCCCCCGCUCAGCUCCUGGGGCUCCUGCUGCUCUGGCUCCCAGGUUCCAGAUGUGACAUCCAGAUGACCCAGUCUCCAUCCUCACAUUCUGCAUCUAUAGGAGACACUGUCAGCAUCAGGUGCAAGGCCAGUGAGAGCAUAGGUAGUUAUUUAGCCUGGUAUCAACAGAAACCAGGGAAAGCUCCUAAACUCCUGAUUUUUGCUGCAAGCAGUUUGGAAUCUGGGAUCCCACGGAGGUUCAGUGGCAGUGGAUCUGGGACAGAUUUCACUCUCACCAUCAGCAGCCUGGAGCCUGAAGAUGUUGGAAUUUAUUUCUGUCAACAGGAUUAUAGUACACCUCCCACAGUGAUACAAGCCAUGACGUAAACCACCCAGGAAAGC
Non-coding RNA from Fukomys damarensis (Damara mole-rat), 411 nucleotides. The record is from the annotation of a RefSeq genome assembly. Lineage: Eukaryota; Metazoa; Chordata; Mammalia; Rodentia; Bathyergidae.